Molecule: long non-coding RNA, 2158 nt
Filed under: Nicotiana benthamiana
Lineage: Eukaryota; Viridiplantae; Streptophyta; Magnoliopsida; Solanales; Solanaceae
Description: long non-coding RNA (NBEN_LNC008224)
Source: RNAcentral
GGAAGGAGGUCUGUCAAAAUCUGCAUCUACGAAGUUGUCUAGUUCAUCAAUAAAAACAAAUAUAGUUAGGUCAGUGCACUGUGCAUAGUGGUGGAUUUUCCUUGAACUUUCUUAAUUCAUUCUUCAUUAAACAUUUUCUAAUUAUUUUAUAGGUUUCUAACAAUGGAGGACUCCUUUUUGCUCGAAAAUCGAGCUACUUUAAGGGCAAUUCUAAUUAUUUAUAGGUUUCUAACGAUGGAGGACUCCUUUUUGCUCGAAAAUCGAGUAACUUUAAGGGCAAUGUGAGUCUCUUGGUUGUUUCCAGUAUGCAGGAUGCAUUUUUCUCCUCAUACUAACCAGUUUCUCUUUCAAUCUCAUACAGGUCCGAAUUUGGGGGAAUCCUUUUUUAUUUCUAUAUCUGUGAUCGCACAAAUUUCUUCGCAGAUUCUAAUAAGGUUCAUUAUCUUUUAACUUAAAAAUAAUGCAUCAUGAUAUGCUUGCUAGAUCAUGAUUUUGAGUAACCUCAUGGACAAUGGCGCAUGAGCAUUUUGUGGUGCACCUAGAGUAAUGUGUUCUCUGCAUACUGUGUUAAAUAUACACAGCCAGUUCAGCCUAAAUGAUUUGUUUCUUUGGAAUCUUGGCCGUUAUCCACCCCUGUAUGUGAUAUCCUGAUUGAACUGUUGGAUGUGGAAAUUGUGCUGUGUAACUUUUGUCUUAAUGUUGUUUCAAAAUGUUUUAUCAAAAUUUUAGCAUGCUUUGCUCCAAAGGAACUAAUUUUAUAUUAUUCUAGAGAAGAUGUACUAGCAUAUAUAUGAUAUGCAUGCUAAUGUGUAACCUCGUUCGUACUUUCUAGAAAUUUUGGAUCUUGUCUACUAUAAUUGGUUUAUUUUUGAAACUUCAAAUUUUCCAUGUUUAACUGUUUUACCACAUGCUUCAGACUCACUCUUGAUAAAUUGUUGUUUUCUUUGCUUUCUUGUGCCCAUCCCGUUAGUUUUGUAUGUAGUUCUUGGUAUUGAGAGUUUAGUACAGGAUCUGCAUUGGUAGUUGACUAGAAUGAAGGACAUGAUGUCCAAUGAUUUCUGCAUCGUUUACUGGAUUAUACUUAAAGUAUGCCAUCUCCAUUGUGGAAUUAUAAGAGGUUUAUUUGCAACCCCGCAAGUGCAGCUGCUCAAAGUAACUAUUUGCUGUUUGAUAUUGUUUUCCUUGAUCAGAGCUACAAUCGGGACCUCUUCCUCUUUCUGUAUUGUCUUCUGAUCAUAGUUUCAGCAAUGACUUCUUUCAAGAAACACAAUGACAAAUCAGCAUUUUCUGGAAAAUCCUUGCUUUAUCUUAACCGUCACCAGACAGAGGAGUGGAAAGGGUGGAUGCAGGCAAGUGUUUUCUGUCACUUUUUUCUUGAUCUACUUAUUCUUCAGUUUUGUAAGAAGUAAAUCUGGACAGUUCUUUAGGGAAAUACCUUCCACUUGCACCCUUUGUUCCUCUGUCUCUCCAGUGAAUGUGUUACAACAUAGUUGCUUGAUUCUUGCGCAACUUCUUUGUUCAAUGUGUGAUAUUAAGAAGCAGUAAAUCAUGCAGAAUCUCUUUUGAAUGCUUAGAAUUUGUCUAUUCAAGUAUCUCCAAAACUUUAGAAAAAGAAGUAUCCCAACAUUUCAUGUGUAUAUUUUAAUUUCCUGUAUAUUUGAACUGCUCUUUGCAUAGACUCCUACAGUAUAUGAUGUUCUCCGCAUUUGCACAGUCUAAAUAAUCUAUCCUUUUGUUUGCAACAGGUCCUCUUUUUGAUGUAUCAUUAUUUUGCUGCAACAGAGAUAUACAAUGCCAUUCGUGUUUUCAUUGCUGCAUAUGUUUGGAUGACUGGUUUUGGGAACUUCUCCUAUUAUUACAUCAGAAAAGAUUUUAGUUUGGCUCGGUUUGCUCAGGUAACACUAUCUGUUAAUACUGUAUUACCUUAAAUCAGAAGACUCUUGGGGUAUCUUACAUUUCUUAGGUUCAGUGUUGUUAAUAUGGUAAACAGUAUUACCUUAAAUCAGAAGACUCUUUGUGGUAUCUUACAUUUCCUAUGUUCAGUGUUGUUAAUAUGGUAAACAUUGUCCUGUGUGCAGAUGAUGUGGAGGCUGAAUUUCUUUGUAAUAUUUUGUUGUGUUGUCCUUAACAAUGACUAUAUGCUGUAUUACAUCUGCCC